This 250-nucleotide long non-coding RNA is filed under the name Cricetulus griseus (Chinese hamster). Its description in RNAcentral is "lncRNA (ENSCGRG00015034936.1)". The record is from RNAcentral. Lineage: Eukaryota; Metazoa; Chordata; Mammalia; Rodentia; Cricetidae.
CUUUGUAAACAUCUCAGGACUCACCCUCCUGACUUCCCCUCGGCACCAUCUUUAACUGGCUCAUGUGCCCUUCAAAGGAGUUUACUAGAGUUACUUUUAAGAGCAUGGAUGACUCAAAGAUGGAGGCAACAAGAGCAGGGGAGGAAGUACAGUCAUCCCUCUGUAUCCAUGGAGAAUUGGUUGUAGUUCCCUAAGGAUACCAAUCCGAAGAUGUUCUCAUUCUUUAUAUAGAGUAGCAUAGAUCACCUUG